This 497-nucleotide ribosomal RNA is filed under the name uncultured bacterium. RNAcentral's name for it is "partial 16S ribosomal RNA". It matches the Rfam family "Bacterial small subunit ribosomal RNA", at positions 28 to 507 of the family's 1533-position model. The record is from RNAcentral.
GAUGAACGCUGGCGGCGUGCCUAAUACAUGCAAGUCGAGCGAACAGACGAGGAGCUUGCUCCUCUGACGUUAGCGGCGGACGGGUGAGUAACACGUGGAUAACCUACCUAUAAGACUGGGAUAACUUCGGGAAACCGGAGCUAAUACCGGAUAAUAUAUUGAACCGCAUGGUUCAUUAGUGAAAGACGGUUUUGCUGUCACUUAUAGAUGGAUCCGCGUCGCAUUAGCUAGUUGGUAAGGUAACGGCUUACCAAGGCAACGAUGAGUAGCCGACCUGAGAGGGGGAUCGGCAACACUGGAACGGAGACACGGUCAAGACUCCUACGGGAGGCAGAAGUAGGGAAUCUUCCGAAAUGGGGGAAAGCCUGACGGAGCAACGCCGCGGGGGUGAUGAAGGUCUUCGGAUCGUAAAACUCUGUUAUUAGGGAAGAACAAAUGUGUAAGUGACUAUGCACGUCUUGACGGUACCUAAUCAGAAAGCCACGGCUAACUACGUG